Molecule: long non-coding RNA, 740 nt
Organism: Oncorhynchus keta (chum salmon)
Lineage: Eukaryota; Metazoa; Chordata; Actinopteri; Salmoniformes; Salmonidae
Exons: 3
Source: RefSeq, a predicted model, not a curated record
UAUAACCCCAGUGGGUGUGCCUUUAAUGUUGCAUGUGGCAACACACGUGUUGCACAGAGGAGCAGUAAUAAACUCAAUUCCUCACACAGGAGGAAGUAGAUAUUUUCGUAAGUGAAUUCUAAGCGUGUUAUCUCUAAAUCUACGGUGAAGACACCAAUCCCCUAGUUCCCGACAGAGGACGGGGAUGACCUUGUUAACAUUUCCGGAGUAAUUAAUUAAUCCACAUGAGUGCUGAAUCUCUGCCGAUUCCUGCCAGCACACAGCCUAUUGCCUCAAAUCUCUCUCUCAGAAUGCAACUUGAGUUGGGUGAUCGUGAGAUGUCUUGUGGGAUUGUGCUUCUGAUCUCCCUGGCGACAGCCUGAACCCGCAACCCUGAUUGGGCCCAGAUGGACUUUGGAACCUUCACUGUGGUUCUCACUUCAAAAAGCCCCCGGUGCCCUCAGAAGUCUCACCCAACAUUUUCUGUCUGUGUCAUUUCUCUCAGCCCAUAUGUGAAUGUAUAAUCUUUGACUGUUGGACUGCUUGAAUGCGUGAGUACAAUGGUAUAGUGUAAUUUAUAUAUGUAUCACUGUUGAAAGAUGCUUUUUUUUUACACCUUUGAGAAUAAUUGUUGAACGCAGAAUAUCUACAUCUUGCAUUGUACAUUUUGGCAACACAUGCUAGAGACUCUUUAAAAUGUGUUUUAAAGAAUACCAAUGAAAAGCCCUCUCUCAUAUGGUAAUAUUAGCUUUUUAUAGGAA